GAUUUAUACAGAAGCGCAGAGAGACAGGCUCUAUGAAGCGCUAGCAACCCUGCCCACCGUGGGCAAAGGUGCUAAAUCCUGAUCCCGAAAACAGGGAGAAUAUAAAUC
RNAcentral lists this non-coding RNA (108 nucleotides) under Flammeovirgaceae bacterium 311. RNAcentral's name for it is "SAM riboswitch aptamer (S box leader)". It matches the Rfam family "SAM riboswitch aptamer (S box leader)". Rfam says of the family: The SAM riboswitch is found upstream of a number of genes which code for proteins involved in methionine or cysteine biosynthesis in Gram-positive bacteria. The SAM riboswitch acts at the level of transcription termination control. The predicted structure consists of a complex stem-loop region followed by a single stem loop terminator region. RNAcentral also lists the same sequence under 1 other name. Lineage: Bacteria; Pseudomonadati; Bacteroidota; Cytophagia; Cytophagales; Flammeovirgaceae. The record is from Rfam by way of RNAcentral.